RNAcentral lists this transfer RNA (72 nucleotides) under Chalcopteryx rutilans. Its description in RNAcentral is "tRNA-Lys". It matches the Rfam family "tRNA". Rfam says of the family: Transfer RNA (tRNA) molecules are approximately 80 nucleotides in length. Their secondary structure includes four short double-helical elements and three loops (D, anti-codon, and T loops). The record is from RNAcentral. Lineage: Eukaryota; Metazoa; Arthropoda; Insecta; Odonata; Polythoridae.
CAUCAGAUGGCUGAAAGUAAGCAGUGGUCUCUUAAACCAUAAAACAGUAUAGUAACGAUCUACUUCUGAUGG